UGGCUCAGAACGAACGCUGGCGGCAGGCUUAACACAUGCAAGUCGAGCGCCCCGCAAGGGGAGCGGCAGACGGGUGAGUAACACGUGGGAAUCUACCCAUCCCUACGGAACAACUCCGGGAAACUGGAGCUAAUACCGUAUACGCCCUUUGGGGGAAAGAUUUAUCGGGGAUGGAUGAGCCCGCGUUGGAUUAGCUAGUUGGUGGGGUAAAGGCCUACCAAGGCGACGAUCCAUAGCUGGUCUGAGAGGAUGAUCAGCCACAUUGGGACUGAGACA
This 276-nucleotide ribosomal RNA is filed under the name uncultured Rhizobium sp. Its description in RNAcentral is "partial 16S ribosomal RNA". It matches the Rfam family "Bacterial small subunit ribosomal RNA", at positions 20 to 326 of the family's 1533-position model. The record is from RNAcentral. Lineage: Bacteria; Pseudomonadati; Pseudomonadota; Alphaproteobacteria; Hyphomicrobiales; Rhizobiaceae.